Prionailurus viverrinus (fishing cat) is the source of this 2981-nucleotide RNA transcript. It is a transcript of the gene named myosin heavy chain IB-like, with no coding region annotated. The transcript is spliced from 7 exons. The record is from RefSeq and is a predicted model, not a curated record. Lineage: Eukaryota; Metazoa; Chordata; Mammalia; Carnivora; Felidae.
AACGCGACGGCGGGGGCGGUGGACUACGACUCCCAGGAAGCCUCGCGCGGGCGAGCCCCGAACCCGAGGACGCGGCGAGCGCGGCGCCCGGCCCUCUCCGGCAAGGACUGUCAAUGGAGGCGCGGGUGGUGGGAGCAAGAACAUGGCUGCACCUGGGGCCUGCGCGGCCGCCUGGGUGGGGGAGGGGAGCCGGGGCACGGGGGCGCAAAUCUAGGCCGGGGGUAGCCCCCGCCCCCUCACUGCCCGGAUGCAGCCGGCCUCAGCCACCGUCCAGGACUCGCACCCACUCUUGCACCCCAGAUUCCCUGCCGAUUGCGAGGCCGGAACUCGGCAGAGGCCGGGGAGCCCCAGCCGGCCUGCCGCUCUCGGUGCUCCGCCAAGGGACUUCCUCCGCGCUGCACCACCCUUCGGGACACAAAGAACUUCUGUUAGUUUUGAAAAGCUUGCCUCAAAAGCGUCCGAAAGAGACUGUUGCCCCAACUUUGGACGGGCGACGGGAGGGGACGCUCCUGUUUUUAUUUACCGCCCCUCACCCCAGGCUUGCUUUCCUCACGCCCCCUCACUCAACAUUUAGAAGGAAAGUUGAGGGAAAGCCACCGAGUGAGAGCAGAAAACCUGCCGUGUAGCCCGUUUUGUUCUGUCAACCGCGAAGAAAGGUUACCGAAACCUCUCCCCCCGCGACUAAUUCUUUUGCCUCUCAACUUGAGCUCUCGAAUUUCGAAAAGGAUGAGACAUUGCUGUUCACCUAAGCGAAACUCCAAAGUUUACCAAACUCGAGCCCCGAGGGCUUAGACAGUUCUGUAAAGCACAAGAUCGAGUGAUUUUGCGAUUUUUACCCCCCAGCGGAGAUGGGGGGGGGGGACCACGCCGGCCAUCCUCCCCCUCCCCCUCCUCCUCGGUAGGUGGCGACCACGGCGCUUUUUCCAGCCUUUGUCGCUGGAAAGAAAACUUUCCGAGCAGCCAGGCUUUUGAUGUAGGUCCAAGACCUUCCCUUUGACUCUUCGUUCCAGAUUGGCGUUCCCCAUCUUUCUUGCAAUAGACCGCACCCAUAAGGCAGCCGAAUCUAGAAUUUCCAUGCUGGGAUUCUUUAAGAUAGAGGGAGACUUUAAAGAUCCCUGCAGAAGCGGUCCGAUUGCAGAUUUCCACAUUUUUACGAUUUCCCCUGCAACGUUUUUACAGGCAUUUUGUCCCCGCCUAACCCGAUUGUGACUCUCCUUUGUCGAGUCUCUCCAAAGCGUUCAUUUCGUUUUCAUGAAAAGUUUUCUUUUUGCACUCGUAUUUCAUUAACAUACUGGACUAUUAAAUUGCGUAUUCCCAGUAGCACGUAAAAGUGACAUCUAUGUAAGGAACAAACCAAAUUUUGAGAAAGUCUGCAAUUGAGCUGAUGGGAGCAGUCAGCCUUCCAGGGACAAACAUUCAGCUGCUGUGAGCACCGGCUCCAUGCUGGGUGUGGAUCCCGAUGAGGGGCUUGAACUCACGACCCUGAGAUCAAAACCUGAGAUGAGAUCAAGAGGUGGAUGCUUAACCAACUGAGCCACCCAGUUACACCUGAGACUCCGUUAUAUAUAAAUGGGGAAUCAUGUUGCUAUAUGUGAGCAGCCCCGUGGAAAGGCCCAGAUGCUGGGAAAGUGAAGCCAUUGGCCAACAGCCACGUGAGCGAGCUUGGGAACAGAUUCUCCUGCCCCGAUUCCAGGAGGUGACUGCUACCCAACCAUGGCUGGAGUGCAAGCUCCUGGGACGCUCACAGCCAGAAGCACUCCUCCAGCUGCUCCUGGAUUCCUGACCCUCAGAACCAAUACUAGACAGGAACCAAGGUGCUGAGGCCCUGAGGACACCCUGAGAACACCCAAGGUCCCGGAGAGGAGAAACCCCUCAGCUGUGUGACGCCGGGCAAACUGAUUCACCUCUCUGAGCCAAAUGGGGAAAACAACGGGACGUGAGCCUCAAAGGAGACCAUGUGUCGGCAAGAGCCUGGUACCCCGCCUGACACGAAGCACGACUCGGCAGGUGUUCUGUUGCUACCGAAUUAAACUGCUGCUCCUUGCAAGUGGGCGACCCCUCUCAUGAGACGCUGCCACCGCCGCUGGAGGGCCAGUCAGGAGCUGUCAUCUGGUCGUGUCUAAUCUGCCGUCUGUUAGCCUGAGGAUUAACUGAAUUUUGCCUGAGGGAAGAAAGCAACCAAGCUUAUUAAAUCACAGCCACGCUACGUACACAAUUCCAAAGCAGUCGGCUCGGCUCGGGGGCAAAGUACGGGAACCCUCAACAGCUGUGUCCUCUCUCCACUAGUCUGAGGUCUGCAGCCAGACUGGUGACUGUGAACUGACAAUCGUGAUCCCAAGGGGGCAAAGGCGACGGGUCGGCAGCAAGGGAGGGGCUGCUCGGAGCGGGACAGACGCAAGGUGGGGAGGGAGGGAGAACGAUUUCUCCUCUCCCUUCUCCCAGCCCUUCCACGGGCCCCCUCCUCUCUGCCAGGCCUGGGCCGGGCGAUCCAGGCACAAGGCAGACUCUCAAAAGAACAGAGGGCAGACAGCCACGGGUGGCCCCACCUUGGCAGGACAGCUGCCCUCCACGUCCCCUGCUCAGGGGCCCGGGGGAGAUCAGGCGCCUGAUUUCACACACCCAAGAGAAACUUUUUACGUGUGCGAAAGGAAGCGCGUUCAAGAGCGCUCGCUAAUGGCACUCUUCUGAACAGGAAAACCACAGAAGCAGCCCAAAUGGCCUAGGACAGCCGAACGGACGGAAACCCAUGGAGCAGUGAGAACAAACCAGCGCAGCGUCACAUUUCAGGGUCACGUUACAUAAGGUCAAGUGAAAAGAGCGAGUCCAGACUUGAUACAUGAGGACGAACCUCGCUUAUCAAAGGGAAAAGCAAGCAAAGAGGAAAUACUUUUGGUUUAAGCAAACACUGCACACAACGAAGCCACUUAAGAAGUCGCCUUGGGGGGUGCCCGGGUGGCUCCGUCGGUCACGCGUCCGACUUC